Molecule: ribosomal RNA, 494 nt
Filed under: uncultured bacterium
Lineage: Bacteria
Description: partial 16S ribosomal RNA
Rfam family: Bacterial small subunit ribosomal RNA
Source: RNAcentral
GGCGAACGCUGGCGGCGUGCUUAACACAUGCAAGUCGAACGGUGAAGCGCCUUCCUUUUUGGUGGGUGUGGAUGAGUGGCGAACGGGUGAGUAACACGUGAGUAACCUGCCCCCUUCUUCUGGAUAACCGCAUGAAAGUGUGGCUAAUACGGGAUAUUCUGGGUCUGUCGCAUGAUGGGUCUGGGAAAGAUAUUGUUUCGGUGGGGGAUGGGCUCGCGGCCUAUCAGCUUGUUGGUGGGGUGAUGGCCUACCAAGGCGGUGACGGGUAGCCGGCCUGAGAGGGUGGACGGUCACACUGGGACUGAGACGCGGCCCAGACUCCUACGGGAGGCAGCAGUGGGGAAUAUUGCACAAUGGGCGCAAGCCUGAUGCAGCGACGCCGCGUGAGGGAUGGAGGCCUUCGGGUUGUGAACCUCUUUCGCCAGUGAAGCAGGCCUGCCUCGUUUGUGGGUGGGUUGACGGUAGCUGGAUAAGAAGCGCCGGCUAACUACGUG